Molecule: non-coding RNA, 644 nt
Organism: Zonotrichia albicollis (white-throated sparrow)
Lineage: Eukaryota; Metazoa; Chordata; Aves; Passeriformes; Passerellidae
Source: RefSeq, a predicted model, not a curated record
GAAUGAAGGAGAGCUGGGAGGCUGUCAGCAGCCUUGUUACUGCUCCUGGCACGGCUGCCUGCUGUGAUCCCGCACUGAAAAGCACAUCUUCUGGAAUUUUAGGUGGCAUCUGCAGAAAAUGCCCCAAGGCACAAUGGACGAGAUGCCCAGAACUAAUUAUCUGCCACACAGGGGGAAAUUUGCAGCAGUUCCAUUUUGAAUGGAAGAACGUCUAUGGCAAAGUCAGCAGGGAGGACCCUCAGAGCUGCUGCAGUUGUGUUCUGCCUGAAGGGAAAACUCCUGCAUUCACUGAACAUCCUGGCACUCAAAGGCCUGCUGGAAAGCUGACAAAAAGUUGUCAUGGAAACCACUAACACCUAGAUAUGAGUGAAAAAGAAGCUUUCAUUCAGAGACCACAAUUAUUUGCAAAAGAAUCUAGACUGGAGGUUGAGGACCUGCUGCAGCAGUGCACUGAAGGACUUGUUCAAGUUCCAGCUGGCAGCAAUCCUUUUGAAAUCUGAAGAUUAAACCAGUGGGGGGCAGCACAAUCACUGUUGUCUCUGUUAGCCAGGUCUUCAGCAGGAAGAGGGAAGAACAUAUUUCUGGAGGCUCUGGAGCAGAUUCAUGGAUUCUGGAGUAUUUUCUUCUCCCCAGACAUCAUUCCA